CGCCGUAGAACCGUUGCCAUCGCGACAGCGGCGCCGCGGCCUGGUCUCGCGAAGCGGCGCUCUGAAGCCUGGGCUGUGGUAGCUUGAAUCCCAAGAGCUGCGGGCUGAGGAAGGAGGCCGAGAUGUCUUUCCGCGACCUCCGUAAUUUCACCGAGAUGAUGAGGGCCCUGGGGUAUCCCCGGCUCAUCUCCAUGGAGAAUUUCCGCACUCCGAACUUCAUGCUGGUUUCCGAGAUCCUCCUCUGGCUGGUGAAAAGAUAUGAGCCUCAGAGCGAUAUCCCUUCAGAUGUGGACACAGAGCAAGAUCGGGUCUUUUUCAUUAAGGCGGUUGCUCAGUUUAUG
This is a long non-coding RNA of Gekko japonicus, 341 nucleotides long. RefSeq lists it as uncharacterized. NCBI's taxonomy places the organism in Eukaryota, Metazoa, Chordata, Lepidosauria, Squamata, Gekkonidae. The record is from RefSeq and is a predicted model, not a curated record. The transcript is spliced from 3 exons.